UGAAACCAAUCCUGGAUAAGUUGCAGCACAAUCAAUCACAGAUUCACUGAUUCACCAUGGCAUCUCGUGCAGCUUACUACUCUCCGUUGGAGCAGCAGAUAAUUAUGGACGCAUAUGAAGAGGUGAAAGACAGAAUUAAAAAACAAGGAAACACCGCCACUGCCCUAAAACAACGAGAGAAAGCGUGGCUUAUCAUUGCAGAUCGCCUGAAUGCAUUAAACAUGACUGGGCCCAAAUGAACUUGGCAGCAAGUCAAGAUAAAGCACAAUAACAUCCUGCAGAACGAUGGUCUACAAUGCUGACUACCUGAUCAGCAAAGCCAGGCCACUUUGCCUGAUGGCGCACGCUGCUGGGGGACAGAGGGUAUGCCUGUGAGCCUUUUUGCCUCACAUCUUACGCAGACCCUCAGGGAGCACAGCAGGCAUAUAACAAUGCCCAUGCCAGGACAAGGGCUCGGAUCGAGAUGACCUUUGGCCUCCUGAAGGCACGCUUCCAAUGUCUGCACCAUCUGAGGGUCGGUUCAGACAGAGCAUGCGAUAUUACUGUGGCUUGUGCUGUCCUCCAUAAUGUGGCCUGUCUGAGGAAGGAGAGGGCCCCCAGAGUGCCCUCAGAUGGCGACAGUGGUCGGCUGAUCAGAGACCAAUAUGUUUUAAAUUAUUUCAGUUAAAGUGCAUUCUGUACAUUUAAGUUGAAUAUGUCCUGCAAUAGCAGAUAACUAUUCAUUUGGCCUAUUGUGCUGCGUACUGUGUGUACAGGCCUAACAUUUGUUAAGUAUGGAUUUGUCCUGCAUUUAUUCCAGUGUGCAGACAUGCAGGGUGUUUUAUAUACAGACCUUUGAGAAUGUGUAAUUAUUGUUGCUUUGAUUCUUUGCUUUCUAUCUUGUAGAGCACUGUGUGACUUCACUUUUGAAAGGAAC
Long non-coding RNA from Chelmon rostratus (copperband butterflyfish), 916 nucleotides. RefSeq lists it as uncharacterized. Lineage: Eukaryota; Metazoa; Chordata; Actinopteri; Chaetodontiformes; Chaetodontidae. The transcript is spliced from 3 exons. The record is from RefSeq and is a predicted model, not a curated record.